ACGAACGCUGGCGGCGUGCUUAACACAUGCAAGUCGAACGGCAAGGCCCUGCUUUUGUGGGGUGCUCGAGUGGCGAACGGGUGAGUAACACGUGAGUAACCUGCCCUUGACUUUGGGAUAACUUCAGGCAACUGGGGCUAAUACCGGAUAGGAGCUCCUGCUGCAUGGUGGGGGUUGGAAAGUUUCGGCGGUUGGGGAUGGACUCGCGGCUUAUCAGCUUGUUGGUGGGGUAGUGGCUUACCAAGGCUUUGACGGGUAGCCGGCCUGAGAGGGUGACCGGCCACAUUGGGACGGAGAUACGGCCCAGACUCCUACGGGAGGCAGCAGUGUGGAAUAUUGCACGAUGGGCGGAAGCCUGAUGCAGCAACGCCGCGUGCGGGAUGACGGCCUUCGGGUUGUAAACCGCUUUCGCCUGUGACGAAGCGUGAGUGACGGUAAUGGGUAAAGAAGCACGGGCUAACUACGUG
Molecule: ribosomal RNA, 467 nt
Filed under: uncultured bacterium
Lineage: Bacteria
Description: partial 16S ribosomal RNA
Rfam family: Bacterial small subunit ribosomal RNA
Source: RNAcentral